Molecule: long non-coding RNA, 529 nt
Organism: Microplitis mediator
Lineage: Eukaryota; Metazoa; Arthropoda; Insecta; Hymenoptera; Braconidae
Exons: 3
Source: RefSeq, a predicted model, not a curated record
CUUUUCUACUCCUAAUCGUAUCCCGGAGUACAAUCAAUGAGUAAUGAGAGUCUCCAUUACAUGGUUAGACAGUAGUGAAUAUUAUUUAGAUGACUGUAUGGUGCCUACCGGGUUGAUAGUUCUUUUUAAUAAGAUAUUCAUUAUGAAAUUGACAACUGAAUGUCUAGUCUAGUCGCCUUAUGAUCCGCCUACAAAGAUGAAGGGAAACAUCAUUCUAAAAAUUCCUGUACCUCCACUCUUGCUAAACAGUCCAACGCCAAGGGAAUUUACCGUAAUUUGGACCCACCAGGGAACGUCAAGUUCGCUACUUGGACCACAAACUUCAGCGUUAACGUCUCAACAGACGAAAUCCACGGUACAAUAUCUCGUGUCCUUUGCGUCUCAUGGAAGCAACCAACAGAAGAAACAAUAUUUCUCCCAGAACUGUCGGCAAAGAUUUCCUCAUUCGAACAGACAAUGUCGCACACUGACAUAAUAAACAGAUUCACAAUGAAUUCUGUUGCCAGAUUUAUUUUUUAUUAUUUUCUAC